RNAcentral lists this ribosomal RNA (305 nucleotides) under uncultured bacterium. RNAcentral describes it as "bacterial SSU rRNA". It matches the Rfam family "Bacterial small subunit ribosomal RNA", at positions 333 to 653 of the family's 1533-position model. The record is from RNAcentral.
UGUAGCCUAGGGGGGCAGCAGUGGGGAAUAUUGGGCAAUGGGCGCAAGCCUGACCCAGCAACGCCGCGUGAAGGAAGAAGGCUUUCGGGUUGUAAACUUCUUUUAUGAGGGACGAAACAAAUGACGGUACCUCAUGAAUAAGCCACGGCUAACUACGUGCCAGCAGCCGCGGUAAUACGUAGGUGGCAAGCGUUAUCCGGAUUUACUGGGUGUAAAGGGCGUGUAGGCGGGACUGCAAAUCAGAUGUGAAAAUUAUGGGCUCAACCCAUAACCUGCAUUUGAAACUGUAGUUCUUGAGUGAUGGG